CAGCAGCCACGGGAAUACGUAGGGUGCGAGCGUUAAUCGGAAUUACUGGGCUUAAAGCGCGUGUAGGCGGGAGGGCACGUCCGUCGCUGAAAUCCCCCGGCUCAACCGGGGAACGGGCGCGGAUACGACUCUUCUGGAGGAACGUAGGGGGACCUAGAACUUCCGGUGGAGCGGUGAAAUGCGUUGAGAUCGGAAGGAACGCCCGUGGCGAAAGCGAGGUCCUGGACGUUUACUGACGCUGAGACGCGAAAGCCAGGGGAGCGAACGGGAUUAGAUACCCCAGUAGUCCCUGUCUCUUAUA
RNAcentral lists this ribosomal RNA (301 nucleotides) under uncultured bacterium. RNAcentral describes it as "partial 16S ribosomal RNA". It matches the Rfam family "Bacterial small subunit ribosomal RNA", at positions 509 to 807 of the family's 1533-position model. The record is from RNAcentral.